Molecule: ribosomal RNA, 500 nt
Filed under: uncultured bacterium
Lineage: Bacteria
Description: partial 16S ribosomal RNA
Rfam family: Bacterial small subunit ribosomal RNA
Source: RNAcentral
AUUGAACGCUGGCGGAAUGCUUUACACAUGCAAGUCGAACGGCAGCACGGGAGCAAUCCUGGUGGCGAGUGGCGAACGGGUGAGUAAAGUAUCGGAACGUGCCCAGUCGUGGGGGAUAACGUAGCGAAAGUUACGCUAAUACCGCAUACGAUCUAUGGAUGAAAGCGGGGGAUCGCAAGACCUCGCGCGAUUGGAGCGGCCGAUAUCAGAUUAGGUAGUUGGUGGGGUAAAGGCUCACCAAGCCGACGAUCUGUAGCUGGUCUGAGAGGACGACCGGCCACACUGGGACUGAGACACGGCCCAGACUCCUACGGGAGGCAGCAGUGGGGAAUUUUGGACAAUGGGCGCAAGCCUGAUCCAGCCAUGCCGCGUGCAGGAUGAAGGCCUUCGGGUUGUAAACUGCUGUUGUACGGAACGAAAAGGUUUGACUUAAUACGUUGGACUCAUGACGGUACCGUAAGAAUAAGCACCGGCUAACUACGUGCCAGCAGCCGCCGCGG